This is a long non-coding RNA of Clarias gariepinus (North African catfish), 1756 nucleotides long. RefSeq lists it as uncharacterized. The transcript has 2 exons. The record is from RefSeq and is a predicted model, not a curated record. NCBI's taxonomy places the organism in Eukaryota, Metazoa, Chordata, Actinopteri, Siluriformes, Clariidae.
UGUGCUUCUUAUCUCCAGGAUCGCUGUAAGAGGCUUUUCCUUGGUGCCGCACGCGCCGCGCGGAUUCGCUUUCGAUAUGACUUUCCUUUCUUGUUAACCUUCUUUCCUUUUGACUGUAACAAUUAGAGAUAAGUCACCGGGAUUUCCCCGGAAUUGUGGUAUAAAUAGGCGCCGACCUGCGCCCGAUCCCGUCCUCAGGCGCACACUGAACGCCCUGGAACAGAGAGACGCACAGGCGCGGAGACGCACCGCGGCGGCACAGUGGUGAGACUGGUAGAAGAAACGGGUGCUUGUGAACAGAUAAGGCAGGCAACUGCGUGGGGCCCCAAGGUCAGCUGAGGCUCCUGAUUUCUUCAUCAUCUAAUUCUGUGAGCAAGAUUUAUGACAAUUCAUACAGUUUAUAGAUAUUCAUAAGUGUUGUGCUAACAACAGAAUGCUAUAAUUCCCAGCCAGAGAAAUCUCCCUAACUGAGCUUUAAAUAUUGUCUAUUAGCGCUGGAACUUGGCUGAAAAGAAAAAAAAAACUGCACAUUUCGGGGACAUUCCAAUAUAGCUGAAUAUACAGUAUAUCCCUUAUAGGGCACAUCUGGCAGUGCGUCUAUAGUAAUUACUGAAUUGCAUGGAUAGUUUUAAAAAAUAAAAUACAAAAUAUAAAAUAUAAAAUAUUUAUAGGACUUAUAGUCCUAAAAUAAAAAUAAAAAAAUAAAUAAAACAUUUUAAGAUUUAAAAGUAUUAGAAAGAACCCAAGUUCAUAUUCACAAUAAGGAAAGUAAAAUCUGCAGACUGUGUGUAUAACUUUAACUUUUUCCAUGUGUUUUUGGCACGUUUCCUCAGUGGGAAUUUGGCCUUUUCUACAAACAGACACAUCUUUUCCUUCUUGCUGAGAACAUGGCCUUUGCAGCUUCACACUCGUGAGACAGAGCUGAGAUUUUACAGUCCAUUGUUGUUGUUGUAUUUUUUUUUCUUACAGUAAGAAAGAAUCUGGUUCAAGCACACAGAUCAGGGUCGAGGUUUAAACUCCGACCCUCUGGUCGAUGCCCUUAUUUCUGUAUUUACAGAGGGUGAAAUAUGAGAUUUAUAGCCCCAAUAACUUGUGAAAAUGUUAAGGGGAAAGGGACACGUCCUCUUCAAAGAGAAACAAGGAAGAAGGAACGUGAAACAGUGUUAGUCUUCUACUGUAAAUCUUAUUCUUGUUGUUCUUCUUGUCUUCUUCUUAUUAUUAUUAUUCUGAUUAUUUUAUUAUUGUUUUUAGACAAUAGAAGCACUGUAGACGUUGGAAGAUACUGUAUGUAUUGUAGUGUGUGUGUGUGCGGUGUGUGUGUGCAUGCAUGUCUUAGUGUAUGCAUAUAAUAGAAAGUUAUAGUUAGUUUUGAAAAAAAAAUUAAGAAAUUGAAUUUACAUUUUUAACCUUAUUUUAUAACUCACAGUGUAUAAACUAUAAACUCAUCACUUGUAACUUAUUACUACUGACAAAAUCUUAAUUGUUCUUAUAACUACUCAUAGAAACUCUCUGUAAAAUAUUAUUAUUAUUAUUAUUAUUAUUAUUAGUCAUAAUUCCAAACACCUGGACAUAUUUUACAUUUAACAUUAAGGGGCAAAUUAAUUACAUUUAUAGCAAUUUGACAUUUAAAAAAUGCUGGAAAAUUAAAUUAGAUGUUAUUUCUCUUAAUGCUGCUAAUACUGUAAAUCCAUUAUUUUACUUAAGUUAUAAAAAAGGUUAUAUUAUAAAAUGUAUACAAUAUAUCAUAAGUUAUAUU